CCUACGGGGGGCAGCAGUGGGGAAUAUUGGACAAUGGGGGCAACCCGGAUCCAGCCAUGCCGCGUGUGUGAAGAAGGCCCUCGGGUUGUAAAGCACUUUCAGUGAGGAAGAACGCCUGGUGGUUAAUACCCAUCAGUAAAGACAUCACUCACAGAAGACGCACCGGCUAACUCCGUGCCAGCAGCCGCGGUAAUACGGAGGGUGCGAGCGUUAAUCGGAAUUACUGGGCGUAAAGCGCGCGUAGGUGGCUUGAUAAGCCGGUUGUGAAAGCCCCGGGCUCAACCUGGGAACGGCAUCCGGAACUGUCAAGCUAGAGUGCAGGAGAGGAAGGUAGAAUUCCCGGUGUAGCGGUGAAAUGCGUAGAGAUCGGGAGGAAUACCAGUGGCGAAGGCGGCCUUCUGGACUGACACUGACACUGAGGUGCGAAAGCGUGGGUAGCAAACAGGAUUAGAUACCCGUGUAGUC
This 465-nucleotide ribosomal RNA is filed under the name Vreelandella stevensii. RNAcentral's name for it is "partial 16S ribosomal RNA". It matches the Rfam family "Bacterial small subunit ribosomal RNA", at positions 338 to 795 of the family's 1533-position model. Lineage: Bacteria; Pseudomonadati; Pseudomonadota; Gammaproteobacteria; Oceanospirillales; Halomonadaceae. The record is from RNAcentral.